CUACGGGUGGCUCCAGUGAGGAAUAUUGCACAAUGGAGGAAACUCUGAUGCAGCAACGCCGCGUGGAGGAUGACGCAUUUCGGUGUGUAAACUCCUUUUAUAUGUCAAGAAAAUGACGGUAGCAUAUGAAUAAGCACCGGCAACUCCGUGCCAGCAGCCGCGGUAAUACGGAGGGUGCAAGCGUUACUCGGAAUCACUGGGCGUAAAGGACGCGUAGGCGGGAUAUCAAGUCAGGUGUGAAAUCCUACAGCUUAACUGUAGAACUGCACUUGAAACUGGUAACCUAGAGUAUGGGAGGGGGAGAUGGAAUUAGUGGUGUAGGGGUAAAGUCCGUAGAUAUCACUAGGAAUACCUAAAGCGAAGGCGAUCUCCUGGAACAUAACUGACGCUAAGGCGUGAAAGCGUGGGGAGCAAACAGGAUUAGAUACCCGUGUAGUC
This 438-nucleotide ribosomal RNA is filed under the name uncultured bacterium. RNAcentral's name for it is "partial 16S ribosomal RNA". It matches the Rfam family "Bacterial small subunit ribosomal RNA", at positions 339 to 795 of the family's 1533-position model. The record is from RNAcentral.